This 309-nucleotide unclassified non-coding RNA is filed under the name plant metagenome. RNAcentral describes it as "partial contains 5.8S ribosomal RNA, internal transcribed spacer 2, and large subunit ribosomal RNA". The stretch from base 1 to 105 matches the Rfam family "5.8S ribosomal RNA", at positions 50 to 154 of the family's 154-position model. The record is from RNAcentral.
GAAAUGCGAUAAGUAGUGUGAAUUGCAGAAUUCAGUGAAUCAUCGAAUCUUUGAACGCACAUUGCGCCCCUUGGUAUUCCAUGGGGCAUGCCUGUUCGAGCGUCAUUUGUACCCUCAAGCUCUGCUUUGUGUUGGGUGUUUGUCCCGUCUCCGCGCGUGGACUCGCCCCAAAGUGAUUGGCAGCCGGCGUACUGGUCCCGGAGCGCAGCACAUGUCGCGCAAACGAGUGCCUUGGUACGGCGGCGUCCAUAAGCCCCUCUCUCACGCUCUUGACCUCGGAUCAGGUAGGGAUACCCGCUGAACUUAAGC